Lactuca sativa (garden lettuce) is the source of this 311-nucleotide long non-coding RNA. RefSeq lists it as uncharacterized. NCBI's taxonomy places the organism in Eukaryota, Viridiplantae, Streptophyta, Magnoliopsida, Asterales, Asteraceae. The record is from RefSeq and is a predicted model, not a curated record.
AGAAAUUCUGAAAAACGAUGAUCGAUUGAAGGUCUUCCGGUGAAGCAAUCUUGGCCAUGGGAAAGAAGAAGAUGCACAUGAAUUUUUAAGGUAUGCUAUUGAUACUUUGCAAUCCGCCAGUCUUAAGGAAGCUGGAACAAAAUCUUCCAACUCCUUAGAAGAAGAAACAACUCUAAUCGGACUUACAUUUGGUGGUUAUCUAAGAUCUAAGAUAAAGUGCAUGAAAUGUGGUGGAAAAUCAUAGCGAUAUGAGCGGAUGAUGGAUCUCACUGUUGAAACUGAAGGUGAUAUAGCAACUCUUGAAGAAGCUU